This 352-nucleotide long non-coding RNA is filed under the name Gallus gallus (chicken). Lineage: Eukaryota; Metazoa; Chordata; Aves; Galliformes; Phasianidae. The record is from RNAcentral.
GGAUGGUACCUUCACACUCCAUCUCCUUCACUCUGUUGGGCGCUUCAGGGCCCCCAGUGCUGACAGCCCCAUCCCCGAGGGCGGUGCCAGGGGGGCUGUGGGCGGCGGUGCGUGGGGCCGGGGCAGUGCUGGGUGCAGCUGUGGUGUGGGGCAGCGGGGGCUCUGCACGUGUGCCGGGCUGAGAUGGGGUGUCCGCGAGGCCCCGCUCCUCCUGCCGCUCAGGCACAGCCACCACCCUGGCAGGGCUCUCACGGCUGCUGGCCGCCCUCUGCACCUCCUCCACCUGCCCAGCCUUGUAGUAGGUGAUGCCCCGCACCACAGUCUGAUGCUGCGCAGGCACCUUGGGCUUGGC